RNAcentral lists this ribosomal RNA (751 nucleotides) under uncultured bacterium. RNAcentral describes it as "bacterial SSU rRNA". It matches the Rfam family "Bacterial small subunit ribosomal RNA", at positions 82 to 819 of the family's 1533-position model. The record is from RNAcentral.
ACUGGUCAAUCUAGUGGCGAACGGGUGAGUAACACGUGGGUAACCUGCCCAUCAGAGGGGGAUAACAUUCGGAAACGGAUGCUAAAACCGCAUAGGUCUUCGAACCGCAUGGUUUGAAGAGGAAAAGAGGCGCAAGCUUCUGCUGAUGGAUGGACCCGCGGUGCAUUAGCUAGUUGGUGAGGUAACGGCUCACCAAGGCCGUGAUGCAUAGCCGACCUGAGAGGGUGAUCAGCCACAUUGGGACUGAGACACGGCCCAAACUCCUACGGGAGGCAGCAGUAGGGAAUCUUCCGCAAUGGACGCAAGUCUGACGGAGCAACGCCGCGUGAGUGAAGAAGGUUUUCGGAUCGUAAAACUCUGUUGUUAGAGAAGAACAAGUGCUAGAGUAACUGUUAGCGCCUUGACGGUAUCUAACCAGAAAGCCACGGCUAACUACGUGCCAGCAGCCGCGGUAAUACGUAGGUGGCAAGCGUUGUCCGGAUUUAUUGGGCGUAAAGCGAGCGCAGGCGGUUCCUUAAGUCUGAUGUGAAAGCCCCCGGCUCAACCGGGGAGGGUCAUUGGAAACUGGGGAACUUGAGUGCAGAAGAGGAGAGUGGAAUUCCAUGUGUAGCGGUGAAAUGCGUAGAUAUAUGGAGGAACACCAGUGGCGAAGGCGACUCUCUGGUCUGUAACUGACGCUGAGGCUCGAAAGCGUGGGUAGCAAACAGGAUUAGAUACCCUGGUAGUCCACGCCGUANACGAUGAGUGCUAA